Molecule: small RNA, 128 nt
Filed under: Klebsiella michiganensis
Lineage: Bacteria; Pseudomonadati; Pseudomonadota; Gammaproteobacteria; Enterobacterales; Enterobacteriaceae
Description: RtT sRNA
Rfam family: RtT RNA
About the family: This family represents a bacterial cis-regulatory element known as RtT RNA. The exact function of RtT is unknown although it is thought that it may be involved in changing the cellular response in relation to amino acid starvation.
Source: RNAcentral
UGCAUCUGAAGUUUAUGAGGAUGAGAACCUCCGGGGGUAGAGGUUCGACUCGAGCGGAGCGAGAGAACGUUGCGUCAGCAACGGCCCGAAGGGCGAGCCACGUAGUGGCGAGUUAUCCUCUAUCACCG